This 794-nucleotide long non-coding RNA is filed under the name Mytilus galloprovincialis (Mediterranean mussel). The record is from RNAcentral. Lineage: Eukaryota; Metazoa; Mollusca; Bivalvia; Mytilida; Mytilidae.
GUCCGACAUUCCAACACCACAAGACAGAAAAAAAGAGAUUAAUAAAAACAUUGUGGAGUCUAGAAAAUAAAUUUGCUGAAUCAAUUACAGAUGGUGGUAAUGAUGUCUAUAGUUUUUUGGCUUCUGGAAAAUCGUACAAACAGUAUAAUAGAUGCAGAAUGUCUACUUGUUUUGAAUCCAAACAAAUGGCUAGUGAGCGAACAUUUAAGACCACCACAGCAAAAAACCAGCAUAAGCCCAAAAACCAUCAUGGGCAAUUUAAAAGUUACAACUUUGAAAAAGAAAGAUUUUUGAGGUAUAUAGCUGAAAAACCAAAAGGUUCCCAUAUUAAUUGGACACCGCUGGCUAGACUUUUCAAAGUCAAAAUAAACGACAAAAUCUCCACAAAACGGUGGUCUGAUAUUGCAGGCAUAUGCCAAAUACAACAAGAUCGACAUUAGGACAUCUGAACAUGUAUCAAAAACGUGUCAGAAGAGCUAACAAGAUAAUUAAUAUGAAAACAACCAAAGUAACAAUACCAACACGAAGACCUGCAAAAAAACUAAAAGAGAAUAUAAUGAAAAAAAUACAGUCAGGCAAUAUAUACAUUGGGGAGGAAGUUGCACCUAAAAAUAUCACUACUACAAAAAUCGACAGCAGUGGCGCUCUAGUUUAAGUAAAUCAAAAUGUUUGUGGUCGCAAAAUACCACUUGCACAUAUAAGACAGACUGCUCUUCAGGAUCAAAUCCAACUUGGAAUUUUGAACUAUCAUUCUAAUCAGAAUCUGUCUGAUGAAGAUGUCCAACAACGCUAUA